This 87-nucleotide non-coding RNA is filed under the name Candidatus Regiella insecticola LSR1. Lineage: Bacteria; Pseudomonadati; Pseudomonadota; Gammaproteobacteria; Enterobacterales; Enterobacteriaceae. The record is from RNAcentral.
UACCAUGGCAGGGCGUAGCGGGGGAGCUUAGCGCUCACCGGGUUCUUGGAUACCGGUCUAUCAAUCCUGUUACGUCUUGCCACCCUG